This 125-nucleotide small RNA is filed under the name Marmota monax (woodchuck). The record is from RNAcentral. Lineage: Eukaryota; Metazoa; Chordata; Mammalia; Rodentia; Sciuridae.
ACUGGGUGUGGUGGUGGAUGCCUGUAAUCCUAGCAGCUUGGGAAGCUGAGGCAGGAGGAUUGCAAGUUCAAAGCCAGCCUCAGUAAAAGCGAGGUGCUAAGCAACUCAAUAGGACCCUGUCUCUA